GGCGACGUAGCUCAGGGGUAGAGCAGGUGAAUCAUAAUCACUCGGUCGGGGGUUCGAAUCCCUCCGUCGCUA
This 72-nucleotide transfer RNA is filed under the name Candidatus Troglogloeales bacterium. RNAcentral's name for it is "tRNA-Met". It matches the Rfam family "tRNA". Rfam says of the family: Transfer RNA (tRNA) molecules are approximately 80 nucleotides in length. Their secondary structure includes four short double-helical elements and three loops (D, anti-codon, and T loops). Further hydrogen bonds mediate the characteristic L-shaped molecular structure. tRNAs have two regions of fundamental functional importance: the anti-codon, which is responsible for specific mRNA codon recognition, and the 3' end, to which the tRNAs corresponding amino acid is attached (by aminoacyl-tRNA synthetases). tRNAs cope with the degeneracy of the genetic code in two manners: having more than one tRNA (with a specific anti-codon) for a particular amino acid; and 'wobble' base-pairing, i.e. permitting non-standard base-pairing at the 3rd anti-codon position. Lineage: Bacteria; Pseudomonadati; Nitrospirota; Nitrospiria; Candidatus Troglogloeales. The record is from RNAcentral.